RNAcentral lists this transfer RNA (79 nucleotides) under Candidatus Nitrosopumilus salarius BD31. RNAcentral describes it as "Candidatus Nitrosopumilus salaria BD31 tRNA-Val". It matches the Rfam family "tRNA". Rfam says of the family: Transfer RNA (tRNA) molecules are approximately 80 nucleotides in length. Their secondary structure includes four short double-helical elements and three loops (D, anti-codon, and T loops). Further hydrogen bonds mediate the characteristic L-shaped molecular structure. tRNAs have two regions of fundamental functional importance: the anti-codon, which is responsible for specific mRNA codon recognition, and the 3' end, to which the tRNAs corresponding amino acid is attached (by aminoacyl-tRNA synthetases). tRNAs cope with the degeneracy of the genetic code in two manners: having more than one tRNA (with a specific anti-codon) for a particular amino acid; and 'wobble' base-pairing, i.e. permitting non-standard base-pairing at the 3rd anti-codon position. The record is from RNAcentral. Lineage: Archaea; Thermoproteati; Nitrososphaerota; Nitrososphaeria; Nitrosopumilales; Nitrosopumilaceae.
UAGGCGGUUAGCUCAGUUGGUUAGAGCACUUGGUCGACAUCCAAGGGGUCAGCAGUUCGAAUCUGCUACUGCCUACCAU